AGACGCUGGCGGCGUGCCUAACACAUGCAAGUCGAGCGAGGAGAUUCCUUCGGGAUGAUCCUAGCGGCGGACGGGUGAGUAACACGUGGGCAACCUGCCUCAUAGAGAGGAAUAGCCUUCCGAAAGGGAGAUUAAUACCUCAUAACAUUGCAGUUUCGCAUGGAACAGCAAUUAAAGGAGCAAUCCGCUAUGAGAUGGGCCCGCGGCGCAUUAGCUAGUUGGUGAGGUAACGGCUCACCAAGGCGACGAUGCGUAGCCGACCUGAGAGGGUGAUCGGCCACAUUGGGACUGAGACACGGCCCAGACUCCUACGGGAGGCAGCAGGUGGGGAAUAUUGCACAAUGGGGGAAACCCUGAUGCCAGCAACGCCGCGUGAGUGAUGACGGCCUUCGGGUUGUAAAGCUCUGUCUUCAGGGACGAUAAUGACGGUACCUGAGGAGGAAGCCACGGCUAACUACGUGCCAGCCGCGGC
Molecule: ribosomal RNA, 472 nt
Filed under: uncultured bacterium
Lineage: Bacteria
Description: bacterial SSU rRNA
Rfam family: Bacterial small subunit ribosomal RNA
Source: RNAcentral